CCUACGGGAGGCAGCAGUGGGGAAUUUUGGACAAUGGGCGCAAGCCUGAUCCAGCAAUGCCGCGUGAGUGAAGAAGGCCUUCGGGUUGUAAAGCUCUUUUGUCAGGGAAGAAACGGUGUGGGCUAAUAUCCCGCACUAAUGACGGUACCUGAAGAAUAAGCACCGGCUAACUACGUGCCAGCAGCCGCGGUAAUACGUAGGGUGCAAGCGUUAAUCGGAAUUACUGGGCGUAAAGCGUGCGCAGGCGGUUUUGUAAGUUUGUCGUGAAAUCCCCGGGCUCAACCUGGGAAUGGCGAUGAAGACUGCAAGGCUAGAAUCUGGCAGAGGGGGGUAGAAUUCCACGUGUAGCAGUGAAAUGCGUAGAGAUGUGGAGGAACACCGAUGGCGAAGGCAGCCCCCUGGGUCAAGAUUGACGCUCAUGCACGAAAGCGUGGGGAGCAAACAGGAUUAGAUACCCUGGUAGUCCACGCCCUAAACGAUGUCUACUAGUUGUCGGGUUUUAAUUAACUUGGUAACGCAGCUAACGCGUGAAGUAGACCGCCUGGGGAGUACGGUCGCAAGNUUAAAACGUUAAAGAGUAGUACGACGNGAGAGACGCGACGACGACGACGAGGAGGAGGAG
RNAcentral lists this ribosomal RNA (622 nucleotides) under uncultured bacterium. RNAcentral's name for it is "bacterial SSU rRNA". It matches the Rfam family "Bacterial small subunit ribosomal RNA", at positions 338 to 1325 of the family's 1533-position model. The record is from RNAcentral.